AAAAAAAAAAGGAAGGAACUGCUGCUAUCAGAGUGAAGAAAUGUGAGGUCACCCUUUGCGGGAACAGGAGGCGAGCCGGAGGAAGUUCCUUUUCCUCUCUCCAGCCUCGCCGUCUCAGCAGAGCGAAACAGGGGAGCCCCUGGCAAGCAAAUGUUGGAAGGUUCCCAGCCCAGCGUCACAGCAGAGCAGAGAGGAUUCCAAAGCUCUUGAGCUGCAUGAAGUCACUGGAACACAGUAGAGCUUCUGAACCUGUAGCUGGAGAUGAGUAUCACCAGCCAACAUCCUUGGCAGAGCUGUGAGCCAACAGCCAGCCCCAGCCUGCCAGCCGUGUGAGCAAGCAGUCUUGGAAGGUGAUUCUACAGCCCCAGCUGAAACACUCCAACUGAUGCCAUGUGAGCCGAGAAGAGCAGCCAAACUGAGCCCUUCUCAAAUCCCUGAUCCUCCAAAUCUCCUCCUGAAAAGCAUGCAGCCGGCAGAAGAUCUGGAUACCACAGAGACUGAGAUUCUACAUGUGUUCAGAGACCGGAGUCCCUACCACAGAACCUGUGACCUGUGCUUCUAGGGUCUUCAAAGUCAA
Long non-coding RNA from Homo sapiens (human), 577 nucleotides. RefSeq lists it as uncharacterized. The transcript is spliced from 4 exons. The record is from RefSeq and is a predicted model, not a curated record. NCBI's taxonomy places the organism in Eukaryota, Metazoa, Chordata, Mammalia, Primates, Hominidae.